UACGGAGGGUGCAAGCGUUGCUCGGAAUUAUUGGGCGUAAAGGGUAGGUAGGUGGUCUCAUUUGUCUGGGGUGAAAGCCUUGAGCUUAACUCAAGAAGUGCCCCAGAGACGGUGAGACUGGAGUUCUGGAGAGGGUCGUGGAAUUCCCGGUGUAGCGGUGAAAUGCGUAGAUAUCGGGAAGAACACCCGUGGCGAAGGCGGCUCUCUGGGCUGACACUGACGCUCAUGCACGAAAGCGUGGGGAGCAAACAGG
Molecule: ribosomal RNA, 253 nt
Filed under: uncultured bacterium
Lineage: Bacteria
Description: partial 16S ribosomal RNA
Rfam family: Bacterial small subunit ribosomal RNA
Source: RNAcentral